AUUGAACGCUGGCGGCAUGCCUUACACAUGCAAGUCGAACGGCAGCACGGGAGCAAUCCUGGUGGCGAGUGGCGAACGGGUGAGUAAAGUAUCGGAACGUGCCCAGUCGUGGGGGAUAACGUAGCGAAAGUUACGCUAAUACCGCAUACGAUCUAGGGAUGAAAGCGGGGGAUCGCAAGGGCUCGGGCGAUUGGAGCGGCCGAUAUCAGAUUAGGUAGUUGGUGGGGUAAAGGCUCACCAAGCCGACGAUCUGUAGCUGGUCUGAGAGGACGACCAGCCACACUGGGACUGAGACACGGCCCAGACUCCUACGGGAGGCAGCAGUGGGGAAUUUUGGACAAUGGGCGAAAGCCUGAUCCAGCCAUGCCGCGUGCAGGAUGAAGGCCUUCGGGUUGUAAACUGCUUUUGUACGGAACGAAAAGAUUUGGCCUAAUAAGCUGAGCUCAUGACGGUACCGUAAGAAUAAGCACCGGCUAACUACGUGCCAGCCGCCGCCGUAA
Molecule: ribosomal RNA, 500 nt
Filed under: uncultured bacterium
Lineage: Bacteria
Description: partial 16S ribosomal RNA
Rfam family: Bacterial small subunit ribosomal RNA
Source: RNAcentral